Molecule: ribosomal RNA, 1018 nt
Rfam family: Bacterial small subunit ribosomal RNA
UGCAGUCGAACGAUGAAGCCCAGCUUGCUGGGUGGAUUAGUGGCGAACGGGUGAGUAACACGUGAGUAACCUGCCCUUAACUCUGGGAUAAGCCUGGGAAACUGGGUCUAAUACCGGAUAGGAGCGUCCACCGCAUGGUGGGUGUUGGAAAGAUUUAUCGGUUUUGGAUGGACUCGCGGCCUAUCAGCUUGUUGGUGAGGUAAUGGCUCACCAAGGCGACGACGGGUAGCCGGCCUGAGAGGGUGACCGGCCACACUGGGACUGAGACACGGCCCAGACUCCUACGGGAGGCAGCAGUGGGGAAUAUUGCACAAUGGGCGCAAGCCUGAUGCAGCGACGCCGCGUGAGGGAUGACGGCCUUCGGGUUGUAAACCUCUUUCAGUAGGGAAGAAGCGAAAGUGACGGUACCUGCAGAAGAAGCACCGGCUAACUACGUGCCAGCAGCCGCGGUAAUACGUAGGGUGCGAGCGUUAUCCGGAAUUAUUGGGCGUAAAGAGCUCGUAGGCGGUUUGCCGCGUCUGUCGUGAAAGUCCGGGGCUUAACCCCGGAUCUGCGGUGGGUACGGGCAGACUAGAGUGCAGUAGGGGAGACUGGAAUUCCUGGUGUAGCGGUGGAAUGCGCAGAUAUCAGGAGGAACACCGAUGGCGAAGGCAGGUCUCUGGGCUGUAACUGACGCUGAGGAGCGAAAGCAUGGGGAGCGAACAGGAUUAGAUACCCUGGUAGUCCAUGCCGUAAACGUUGGGCACUAGGUGUGGGGACCAUUCCACGGUUUCCGCGCCGCAGCUAACGCAUUAAGUGCCCCGCCUGGGGAGUACGGCCGCAAGGCUAAAACUCAAAGGAAUUGACGGGGGCCCGCACAAGCGGCGGAGCAUGCGGAUUAAUUCGAUGCAACGCGAAGAACCUUACCAAGGCUUGACAUGUUCUCGAUCGCCGUAGAGAUACGGUUUCCCCUUUGGGGCGGGUUCACAGGUGGUGCAUGGUUGUCGUCAGCUCGUGUCGUGAGAUGUUGGGGUUAAGU